This 582-nucleotide ribosomal RNA is filed under the name Triticum aestivum (bread wheat). Its description in RNAcentral is "partial small subunit ribosomal RNA". Lineage: Eukaryota; Viridiplantae; Streptophyta; Magnoliopsida; Poales; Poaceae. The record is from RNAcentral.
AUGCAAGGGCAUGCUUCCUGCAAUUUUAUUGGAUGGUACGGUGUUAGGCUCACAAUGUAUGUUAAUAUAAAUGGUCCUUUAUUCAGCAUACCUCUUUCUUCAUUUGGUUUGGCUUUCCUCUGCUGGUCAUGUAUUAGCAAUAAAAACCCAAGAAGUAGAAGAUUUGCCUUUCAAGUUCUCAUUGUUUGUUGUUCCUCCAUACUUAUUUGGUUGGGCUUGUUUGGAUUCUCCACAGUGUACACCAACAUGGGCGAUGUGCUCUUCACCAUGGCUUGGCGCUCGCUGCUGCCAUCCCUUGAAAGUGAUAUGACCUCCACGAGCACAAUAAAACCUCAAAAGUAUAAUAUUUUCCUUUCUAGACAUCAACUUUUUUGUUCUUCCAUUUUUGCUUAUUUGGUUAGGCUUGUUUGGAUUCUCCACUGUGUACACCAUGGGCAAUGUGCUUUGCGCCACGGCCUAGGCACUCGCUGCUUCCAUCCCUUGGAAGGGACAUGGCCUCCAUGUGUGCUUCGUCAUGUGUGUGAGAGAGGGAGAGGGAGAGAGAGGGAGGUAGGGGGAGUUUACAUCCAUGAUGCGGUUUAA